AAUCAACGCUGGCGGCGUGCCUAACACAUGCAAGUCGAACGCGAAAGCCCCUUCGGGGUAAGGUAGAGUGGCGUCCGGGUGAGUAACACGUAGGUAAUCUACCUUCGGGUGGGGAAGUAACUCGCCGAAAGGCGAGCUAAUACCGCAUAAUGCAGCGGCACCUAAUGGUGAUUAGUUGUUAAAGCGGGGGAGUCGUAAGACCUCGCGCCUGAAGAGGAGCCUGCGGCAGAUUAGCUAGUU
This 240-nucleotide ribosomal RNA is filed under the name uncultured bacterium. Its description in RNAcentral is "partial 16S ribosomal RNA". It matches the Rfam family "Bacterial small subunit ribosomal RNA", at positions 32 to 250 of the family's 1533-position model. The record is from RNAcentral.